UCAUAUCCGUCUCCUCCUUCCAUUCCAAUUUAAAACUCCUGAUGAUGUUUGAAGCCGAGAAGAAACAAGAAACGGGGACGACGAUGAUGAUGUGCACUCAGAUAACCCAAAUGAAAUUUAGGUUUAUCAAGUUUCAACAAUAUACUUCUCAGAUUUGAUUGUUCUAGGGUUUGGAGGAUCGUUGGAUGUGGCGACUGUUUUGGAUUUUGUGGACUCUGGUAAGGAUUUGAUUGUUGCGGCUGAUGCGAGUGCGUCGGAUUUGAUUCGGAGUAUUGCGGCUGAGUGUGGAGUUGAUUUUGAUGAGGAUCCGUCUGCUGUGGUUAUCGAUCAUGGGAGCUAUGCUGUGUCAGGAACUGAGGGGGAUCAUAUGUUAAUUGCUGCUGAUGAUUUUAUUAAAUCUGAUGUGCUUUUAGGAAGUAUAAAAUUGAGGUGGUUAAUGACAUGUUCAAUCCAGCAGGGCAAAAUUAAACAAUAAGGAGGAUAGUCAGGUAAUUUGUGUAUCACUAUGAGAAGAAGAUGAGCUGGGCAAAAUUAUAGAUUUUGUCGAAGAAGAUGAGCUAGGCUGGGAUGUGAAACUGGGUGUUAAUCUGCCAGUACCGUUUAGAACCAAACCGUUUCGACCAGUACCGGUUCGCGUCGAAACGGUUCGAUUCGAAACGGUACUGGUCGAAACGGUUCAAUUCAAAACGGUACAGAUCAAACUGUUCACGUCGAAAUGGUACGCAUCGAAACGGUUCGUGUCACAACGAUUCGCGCCGAAACAAUUUGGUUUUAUUUUCAUUAAGUGAGUGGGCGGUUAAUAUUCAGAGAGACAACUAUGCGUCAUACGUUGUCCAUUAUCCCAUGCUCGCUUAUUUGGCGAUAGUGGAAAAUGAGUCUAUUGGGAGAGAACGCUACAAUUUCAUGCAGGUUCUGCUACAGGAAAACGGGCAAGUUUUGGAAAUGUGAGAUCUGAAAGGCAUUCUAGAUGGGUCCCACACUUGCCGAAACAAAAAAUACGGGUGAAUUGAGGACAGCGAAUAACGGAACAAGCAGCACUAAGCCUUUGGUUAGCGAUGGCAAGCGCAAGCCGAUAAGAAGAAAUUCUCAAAUUUGCCCACAUUUCAUCAAAUCUUUCGACACGUGAGAUAUGGUUUUGUUUUUUUAAUUUUGCUUGUAGUACAAGGGGGAAAUGAGACUGGAUGCGGUUAAUGAUGUUGACGAGGACGAGAUGCUGGAUGUUGACGUAGAUUGACUCUUGUUAGCUCAGAAAUAUAGAAUGCAUAGUCACCCUUGUUUUUUGCAGUGUGUAACAGCUUUAUUUUGAUAUGCUUUCAUGUUUCUAAUACCAGGUAACAAGUAAAGGUUAUGCACUUUAAGGCUUUGGCAGGGACUUCUGUAGCAAUCAUAUUUGCUAUUUAGAUAAUGACAUGGUAAAUCUUAAUGAACUUCAUUACAAGACGAUAAACAACUUUAAGUGAUCGUUUGUUUG
This is an RNA transcript of Helianthus annuus (common sunflower), 1471 nucleotides long. RefSeq lists it as uncharacterized. Lineage: Eukaryota; Viridiplantae; Streptophyta; Magnoliopsida; Asterales; Asteraceae. The transcript has 6 exons. The record is from RefSeq and is a predicted model, not a curated record.